RNAcentral lists this ribosomal RNA (499 nucleotides) under uncultured bacterium. RNAcentral describes it as "partial 16S ribosomal RNA". It matches the Rfam family "Bacterial small subunit ribosomal RNA", at positions 28 to 507 of the family's 1533-position model. The record is from RNAcentral.
GAUGAACGCUGGCGGCGUGCCUAAUACAUGCAAGUCGAGCGAACAGACGAGAGUGCUUGCACUCUCUGACGUUAGCGGCGGACGGGUGAGUAACACGUGGGUAACCUACCUAUAAGACUGGGAUAACUUCGGGAAACCGGAGCUAAUACCGGAUAAUAUUUAGCUUCGCAUGAAGCAAUAGUGAAAGACGGUUCUGCUGUCACUUAUAGAUGGACCCGCGGUGUAUUAGCUAGUUGGUGAGGUAACGGCUCACCAAGGCAACGAUACAUGGCCGACCUGAGAGGGUGAUCGGCCGCACUGGGACUGAGACACGGCCCAGACUCCUACGGGAGGCAGCAGUAGGGAAUCUUCCGCAAUGGACGAAAGUCUGACGGAGCAAUGCCGCGUGAGUGAAGAAGGUUUUCGGAUCGUAAAACUCUGUUGUAAGGGAAGAACAAGUACGUUAGUAACUGAACGUACCUUGACGGUACCUUACCAGAAAGCCACGGCUAACUACGUG